Molecule: long non-coding RNA, 1502 nt
Organism: Acanthochromis polyacanthus (spiny chromis)
Lineage: Eukaryota; Metazoa; Chordata; Actinopteri; Pomacentridae
Exons: 5
Source: RefSeq, a predicted model, not a curated record
AGUUAUAUUUGUGCCACAAUCCUGAGCGCACAGUGUGAAAUUUUGAGCACAGAAAACAAUUUUGAGCAAUGAAAAACUUAAUCUGAGCAAACAAAAAUCUGUUCUGCACUCAAAAAAUAUAUUUUUAUAUUUGCAACUAUCCACAUACACACACAGUCUUAAUGCUUUUCACUCGGUUUUUUACUCUGCUCUCCUGUGGAUCUCUGCUCUACGUCCUUGCUACGUCUCUCUCGCUCUCGCUCAACAUCUGCUCUCUGCACACGCUCAAAUCUGCCUUCACGCUCGCUCAACUCUGCACGGCGUUACAAAUGUGCCACAAUUCCAGCCAAUCACAGACUUCUGAUUCUAUCCAAUCGGGUCCCUGUUUCGGCCGCCUCUCGGAAGCGCUGUUAAAAACGAUCGCUAAAUCAACUGGAGUUCUGCUAUAUACGCUGGACUACGACAGAUUUUCGAGCCACUGGACCCUCGUUUAAUUAGCCAAGAUUAGCAAAGCUGUACCAUGUCGGAUCCUGAACGACAACACAACGGUGCACCACAUCGACAUGUCUUGUACUUGGAUGCUGCAACAAAUAACAGAGCACAAACUGCAUUCUCAUUCUUCAUCACAUCGGUCCAGCUUCAUGGCUUACCGUCAAGGGUUAGGGCAGAUCAGGGAGUAGAAAACCUGGAUAUUGCACAUUUCAUGUUUGCCACACGAGGAACAGGAAGAUCGAGCUUCAUCUCUGGAAAAAGUACCAUGACAUUCUUCACUCUCUGGAAGAGGAUGGUCUACUUGAUAUAUCUGAUGCCACUCUUCUCUUUGGUGUGCACUACGUCUUUGUCCCCGACUCCGGGCAGAUCUUGAUACCUUUAUUGAAGGAUGGAAUAAUCAUUCUCUGUGGACAGAGGGAGGUCUCACCCCUGAACAGCUGUGGUGCAUGGGACGUCUACAAGAUCUGGAUGAGGGGGAGAGACUCAAGGACCUUCAGGACCCAGGCAUUGACUGGGAGAGUGCUGUGCUGCAGGAAGACUCUCAUGGCACAGUUGUGGUUCCUGAAUUUGAGUGCCCACUGGAUGAUGAAGCCCUGGAAGAACUUCAGAGAACUAUCAACCCUCUGGAACAUUCAGAGUCACAUGGUCGUGACUUAUAUAUCAGGUUCUUGCAACAGGUGUCCAACCAAUAGACAUUUGGACAGGAACUUGAAAGUCAACAAAUAUUCCAGCACAGUGACAAAAAUUAUUGAAGCUUUUCUAACUAAUAAAAGCAAGAGAACCCUGUAUAAAAGGGAAUCUGUAUGACUGAAGAGAAAGUCAAACACUGAGCUAACAGGAACAAUUGUUUUGCUUUUUUCAUUAGCUAUGAACAUAUUCUAUCAGUUAAUGUUUAGAAAUAGCUUCUCAUUUUUUGUUUCAGAUUACCAGAGGGCUGUUUCUGUUAAACUCUGUAGAAGCCACCACCAUAUCUAACUGCUUCACUCAUAAGUCUUCUGAAUUCAGUGUAAGUGUUGAGAUGCUGCACUGGA